AGCAUGGCCAGGGGCGGGGCUUCCCUGAGGCGCGCCGAGAGGCGGUGGCCCACUUCCGGCAAUAAUCGCCUGGUCGCCGUCAGGUGCCGGCCCAGGUGGCAGGCGCGCCCGUUGGGCACUGGGGGACGCGGGCGCGUCAGGUGAAGACUGGGGGCUGCAGGCGCGCUAGGAGAACUAUGCCAUUUUUGGGUCAGGACUGGAGAUCUCCUGGAUGGAGUUGGAUUAAGACAGAAGAUGGCUGGAAGAAUUGUGAAUCUUGUAGUCAGAAACUUGAAAGAGAGAAUAACCAUUGUAACAUCAGUCACAGCAUAGGCAUGGCUAUUGCACCUUGGGAGAAACCUUUAAUCGGUUAGACUUCUCAAGUGCAAUUCAAGAUACCCGAAGGUUCAAUUAUGUGGUCAAACUGCAGGACAAAUUCGAGCAUCUUAAAAUGAUUCAACAGGAGGAGAUAAGGAAGCUCGAGGAAGAGAAAAAACAACUGGAAGGAGAAAUCAUAGAUUUUUAUAAAAUGAAAGCUGCCUCUGAAGCACUGCAGACUCAGCUGAGCACUGAUACAAAGAAAGACAAACAUCACCAAACCAAUGCAGACCAAACCAAUGCAGAACUCCUAUGUGCUGAUGGUGGUCUUACAUUUCCCUAAGUUUCUGCCGACUAAACUGUGCACACGUUCUCAGGACCUCCUGAAGCUGCGUCACAGGCACUAAUCAAAGAACACAACCAAGAGUUUGGCCUUUUCUUCAGCACUGGGAAUUGUGAUCCAAAGCUUUUCCUGAUGAAGCACAAAGUUGGAGAAAAAAAAGCAAACUAAACAACAACAAUGAAACAGAACAGAGUUAAUCUGCUGUAGCUCAAGAGAGGAUGUACCUGCCCCCACCCCGCAUCCCUGGGCUCGGGUUUGCCUUGCUGACCUCUGCUGCCACCUGGUGCCACACAGAGAAACUGAGGAGAAACCACAUCAGUCUCCUUCAGCCUCAGCUUCACAUCUGUGGGUCAAGUAACCCUUUCAGAAGCUGAAUAAUGUGGGAAAGCUUUCCUCUCAGGAAAAUGCACACAUCCAACUUUGAGAAGAUGCCCUUGGGGGUGCUUCAAGGAUCCUAGAUAAAGAACCCCCUUUCCCGAACAUCCAAGAACCUAAGUUUUUUUUUUUUUUUUUGAGAAAGUCUCGCUCUCUCUCCCAGUCUGGAGUGCAGUGGCGUGAUCUUGGCUCACUGCAAGCUCCACCUCCCAGGUUCACGCCAUUCUCCUGCCUCAGCCUCCCGAGUAGCU
This 1266-nucleotide long non-coding RNA is filed under the name Homo sapiens (human). RNAcentral describes it as "non-protein coding lnc-RTP5-8:4". Lineage: Eukaryota; Metazoa; Chordata; Mammalia; Primates; Hominidae. The record is from RNAcentral.